This 457-nucleotide ribosomal RNA is filed under the name uncultured bacterium. Its description in RNAcentral is "partial 16S ribosomal RNA". It matches the Rfam family "Bacterial small subunit ribosomal RNA", at positions 28 to 523 of the family's 1533-position model. The record is from RNAcentral.
GAUGAACGCUGGCGGCGUGCCUAAUACAUGCAAGUCGAGCGGAAAGGCCCUUCGGGGUACUCGAGCGGCGGACGGCUGAGUAACGCGUAGGAACGUACCCCAAAGUGAGGGAUAACUGCUCGAAAGAGUAGCUAAUACCGCAUGUGCUCUUCGGAGUAAAGCUUCGGCGCUUUGGGAACGGCCUGCGUCCUAUUAGCUAGCUGGUGAGGUAAUUGCUCACCAAGGCGACGAUAGGUAGCUGGUCUGAGAGGAUGAUCAGCCAGACUGGGACUGAGACACGGCCCAGACUCCUACGGGAGGCAGCAGUAGGGAAUUUUCCACAAUGGGCGAAAGCCUGAUGGAGCAACGCCGCGUGCGGGAUGAAUGCCUUCGGGUUGUAAACUGCUUUUAUAGGUGAAGAAUAUGACGGUAACCUAUGAAUAAGGAUCGGCUAACUCCGUGCCAGCCGCCGCGGUAA